CUGGAAUUAGAUAAUGGUGAUAGUUGCACAACCUUAUAAAUAUGCUGGAAAACAUUGUACACUUUAAGAGGGUGAAUGUUGUGGUAUGUGAAUUCCAUCUCAAUUAAAAAAGCAGUUUAGGACCUGCUACAGAGGGCCCUAUAUGCUAUGCUGAGGGCACUUAAUGCUGGAGACACCAAGCGGUCACCAAGUGCUUUUAAUACGCCAGUAAUAAUGAAAAAAUAAUACAAAAUAAUUAAAAUAAAAAAUAAUAAUAGCAGUAAUAAGAACAGUAAUGAAAGUGAGAACAAUAGCUCCCUUAGACAGCACUUAAUGUGCAUUACCUGCACCAUCUGCCCUGAGCACCUGUUUAAACACAUGACCACCUGACAGUCUCGUCUGCAUUGUUGUUGAUAGUCCCUAGGACUUGUUAUUUUGUUUAUUGUUUGUCUUCCCCAUGACUAAAAUGUAAGUUCCAUAAGAGCACGGGAUUUUUUUUUUUUUUGAGGAGGAUUAGCCCUGAGCUAACUGCUGCCAAUCCUCCUCUUUUUGCUGAGGAAGACUGGCCCUGAGCUCACAUCUGUGCCCAUCUUCCUCUACUUUAUAUGUGGGACACCUGCCACAGCAUGGCUUGCCAAGCGGUGCCAUGUCUGCACUCGGAAUCUGAACCCCUGGCCGCCGAAGCGGAACAUGUGAACUUAACUGCUGCACCACUGGGCCGGCCCCAAGAACAGGGGAUUUUGUGUAUUCUAUUCACUACUUUAUCUCAAGUGUCCAGAACAGUGCCGGGCCUAUAAUGGGUGCUAAAUAAAUACCUAACAAGUGAAUGCUGUUGAUUAAGAGAACCUGAGAUCACAUAGAACAAGCAACUUAUUUUACAGCUGAGGAAAGGGAGGUGAGUGACAUGUUCAUUCCAUAGCAAGUCAGUGGGUGGAGCUGGGCUGAACUGGACAGGUGUCCUGGAGACUCCUGGUGCCUGCCCUGGAGGCCCUUUUGAAGGAAGUAGCCGUAGGCUGUUUGUUCCAUGAACUCAUCAUGCUUUGCAUUGUGUGUGAUGGUUGUGUUUUCCCAUCUAGCAUCCACUCCCCCCAUUCUCUGAGAGUAGUAUUUUGAUUUUCCAUGGAGGAAUAACUCAUCGUCCUCUUGGUUGACGCAGUUUCCGUGGAACUGGCUCGAUGGAGGUGGACACAUGGCUCAGGUCUGACCAAUCAGAGCAUUGCUUUCUCUUGGUCACAGUUGGGUCCAGAGAGAAGGUACAUGACUCAAGCAAAGCCAAUGAAACUCCCUUCUGGGAUUUUGCUGAAAGUAUUAAGGAGAAAUUCUCAGCAGGGUUUCUAAGCUGGUGGAAUGCAGGCUUGGAACUGCCGAUGGCCAUCUUUGCCACUACUUGGGAAGAGCCAGCCUGAGAAUGAAGACAAGACAGAGAGAAGCAGAGCCUAGAGAUGAAAAUUUGGAGAGCCAUGAGGACUGACAUCUGGGGGCUGAAAUAACACUUGGAGAUCAGGUUUCCAGUGUGAUCAGGGCUCCAGGCUUAAAGAUUGUUCUGAUCUUCAUUCGUGGUCAUGAGCAGGACCCGGGGAGGGGCUGAUCUCUUGACUGCAGUUGGCUUGUCACACGCUGGUCAUAGAAAGAGGAUGGAUGAUUUGGCUGAGUGGAGAAACUCCUGUGUCUUGCAGAAGGAGAUGCGAUGAGGAGCAAGGAAGUCGCAGUGGCUGAACCCCAGAGAGGCUCAGGGAUUGAAGGUCAGGCCCCUGGGGUGAGAGGAGGGACCGAAGACAGAUCGUUAAUUGUACAUAUCUACUAGGCACGUUACUGCCAGAUUUCCCUCCUGUGACCCCUUGCCCCGAUCCCUGCAGAAGAUUAAGUGUUUCUUCUUUGGAGAACUUGAAACAGAGCAGCUCUAGCUUGAGAGACAGCAGUCAGAGAAAAAUGUGGAGCUGAGGCAGCAUGCUAAACACAGAUUAAAUGCACGUGUGCAGCUAAAAAAAGAAACUUAACCUGUUUUUUAAUAAUCAUGUGCUUAGUGAUAGUAUUGAU
Molecule: long non-coding RNA, 2016 nt
Filed under: Equus asinus (donkey)
Lineage: Eukaryota; Metazoa; Chordata; Mammalia; Perissodactyla; Equidae
Description: lncRNA (ENSEASG00005030177.1)
Source: RNAcentral